CGGACACAUUGGAACUGACGCACGGUCCAGACUCCUACGGGAGGCAGCAGUAGGGAAUAUUGCUCAAUGGGGGAAACCCUGAAGCAGCAACGCCGCGUGGAGGAUGAAGGUUUUAGGAUUGUAAACUCCUUUUGUUAGAGAAGAUAAUGACGGUAUCUAACGAAUAAGCACCGGCUAACUCCGUGCCAGCAGCCGCGGUAAUACGGAGGGUGCAAGCGUUACUCGGAAUCACUGGGCGUAAAGAGCGCGUAGGCGGGAUAGUCAGUCAGGUGUGAAAUCCUAUGGCUUAACCAUAGAACUGCAUUUGAAACUACUAUUCUAGAGUGUGGGAGAGGUAGGUGGAAUUCUUGGUGUAGGGGU
RNAcentral lists this ribosomal RNA (360 nucleotides) under Helicobacter pylori. RNAcentral describes it as "bacterial SSU rRNA". It matches the Rfam family "Bacterial small subunit ribosomal RNA", at positions 305 to 682 of the family's 1533-position model. The record is from RNAcentral. Lineage: Bacteria; Pseudomonadati; Campylobacterota; Epsilonproteobacteria; Campylobacterales; Helicobacteraceae.